RNAcentral lists this long non-coding RNA (252 nucleotides) under Theobroma cacao (cacao). RNAcentral's name for it is "long non-coding RNA (TCAC_LNC005590)". Lineage: Eukaryota; Viridiplantae; Streptophyta; Magnoliopsida; Malvales; Malvaceae. The record is from RNAcentral.
ACAUGUUCAUUCACCAUCUCCUCAUAUCUACAAAUCUCCACCUCCACCAUCACAUCCUAAGCCCCAUCCCCCUCAUCCUCCACAUCCUAAGACUCCUUAAGCACCACAUUCGAAGUAUCUUUAUAAGUCACCAUCACCUCUAAAGGCUUACUAAGUUAAUGCUUUUUGUUUCGUCCAUUUAAAUUGGUGAUAACAUGUUCUUUCGUGACGAUAUAUGUCAUCAAUUUGUUAACUAGCCUUAUAAUCUUGGAG